GGACAUUGAUGAUUUUUAUCUAUGGUCUCGUUCGACGUAAUGGUCUAAUAUAGUCCUUGACGAUUAUCCAUAUUCUGAGUCC
Cannabis sativa is the source of this 82-nucleotide small nucleolar RNA. RefSeq annotates it as small nucleolar RNA Z43. Lineage: Eukaryota; Viridiplantae; Streptophyta; Magnoliopsida; Rosales; Cannabaceae. The record is from RefSeq and is a predicted model, not a curated record. The transcript has a single exon.